This 251-nucleotide long non-coding RNA is filed under the name Ananas comosus (pineapple). RNAcentral describes it as "long non-coding RNA (ACOM_LNC037023)". The record is from RNAcentral. Lineage: Eukaryota; Viridiplantae; Streptophyta; Magnoliopsida; Poales; Bromeliaceae.
UCAUUACACCACUUUAUGUUGCUAACUCUAGCAAUCAUUGUUCUUUACCAUUCAUUACUCUCGCUAACUCUAGCAAUUAUAUUCUUUACAUUCUUUACUUUUGGCUACCUCUAGCACUUCAUGUUUUUUACUCCCCACAUUACUUUAACUUUAAACAUUGUCAUUUUCAUCAUUCUUUACAAUACAUUGGUUCUUUACCUCACACUAUCUCUAGUGUCACUUCACUUUAACUUUAUCGAAUGCCACUCGAU